GCGCGAAAACUUUACAAUGCGGGAAACCGUGAUAAGGGAACUCCGAGUGCCCGUUAAAUCGGGCUGUCCAUCAGUUUAAAAAACUGGUGAAGAAAGGGCCGGGCAAGACCGGUGCCAGCCGCCGCGGUAAUACCGGCGGCUCGAGUGGUGGCCACUAUUACUGGGCUUAAAGCGUUCGUAGCUGGUUUGUUAAGUUUCUGGGGAAAUCUUCCGGCUUAACCGGAAGGCGUCUCAGGGAUACUGGCAGACUAGGGACCGGAAGAGGUGAGGGGUACUCCAGGGGUAGGAGUGAAAUCCUGUAAUCCUUGGGGGACCACCUGUGGCGAAGGCGCCUCACCAGGACGGCUCCGACAGUGAGGGACGAAAGCUGGGGGAGCAAACCGGAUUAGAUACCCGGGUAGUCCCAGCCGUAAACGAUGUGCGUUAGGUGUAUCGGUGACCACGAGUCACCGAGGUGCCGAAGAGAAAUCGUGAAACGUACCGCCUGGGAAGUACGGUCGCAAGGCUGAAACUUAAAGGAAUUGGCGGGGGAGCACCACAACAGGUGGAGCCUGCGGUUUAA
This 562-nucleotide ribosomal RNA is filed under the name uncultured Methanomicrobiales archaeon. RNAcentral's name for it is "bacterial SSU rRNA". It matches the Rfam family "Archaeal small subunit ribosomal RNA", at positions 339 to 905 of the family's 1478-position model. The record is from RNAcentral. Lineage: Archaea; Methanobacteriati; Methanobacteriota; Methanomicrobia; Methanomicrobiales.